AGAGGUCACUACUAAGUGGCUGUUACUUGUUUAUCAAUUAUUAAAUUAUAAAUGGAAAUGAUACUGUUAAAGGUAUUGUUUCCACAUUAAACCUAAAGAAAGUGCUUACAGCCGAUCAAAGAACGUAAGUACAAAAGUAAUUAGGGUAGAAGAGUUCAAUAAAGAGAUUGUUAAGAGUAAUACAAAGAUUAAAUCACCGAGAGAUC
Molecule: unclassified non-coding RNA, 206 nt
Filed under: uncultured Flammeovirgaceae bacterium
Lineage: Bacteria; Pseudomonadati; Bacteroidota; Cytophagia; Cytophagales; Flammeovirgaceae
Description: 16S-23S ribosomal RNA intergenic spacer
Source: RNAcentral